UCCCAUAUAGUGUAGGGGUUAUCAUACUGCCCUCUCACGGCAGAGACUGGGGUUCGAUUCCCUGUGUGGGAG
Molecule: transfer RNA, 72 nt
Filed under: Cephalotrichum gorgonifer
Lineage: Eukaryota; Fungi; Ascomycota; Sordariomycetes; Microascales; Microascaceae
Description: transfer RNA-Glu(CTC)
Rfam family: tRNA
About the family: Transfer RNA (tRNA) molecules are approximately 80 nucleotides in length. Their secondary structure includes four short double-helical elements and three loops (D, anti-codon, and T loops).
Source: RNAcentral